GUUGGUGCAAAAGCUUCGCACCGCUCACUUUCUGCAGGGGUAACUCACUUGUUUCUCUGGGUUACUCGAGUCAUAUGCCUCUUCCCACGUGUGGUGUUUACCUUGGAGCUCUGCUCUCCAUUGCUCACCUAAUCUGCAAUGUAAUUGUCCAUCUAAAAAUACAGGAGCCCAAAACCAGGCUUUCUUCAUUAUCUUUACUAAGAUGGGUUUAAAACAACUGAAGCUCCAGCUGUUCGUGAUCAGCUAUAUACCUGAAUUUCCCAGUGCUUCUACAAAUUCAUUCCAUCCUGCUUAACUUUCACCCUGCCUCAUUCCCCUACGGUAUGCCUGGGCAGAGAAGACCUGCACUUCAAGGUGUGGUUCGUAGCUCCUGCACGAAGUAAGCUACUGUGUGCCCUUGACCAAGUAAGUUACAGGCACUUGUCUAACACAGGUUAACGCUUACGCCCAGAAAAACAUGUGAAUGAUCCUGUCAGACCCCCCGUGCCUUGGCUUGCCUGUCUGGCCUACGCUGUGCAUUCUGUUAUUUACCUUCUGCAUCUUUUAUAAGGAUGAGCAAAGAACCGGCCUCUUUAAGUAAAAUGUUAACAUCUGCGCUCAGGGUUUCCACUACUGCAACACCCCCACACCCAACCGCAUUCUGGGGUUCCAUGAAACGGGGGAAGGCUCUGAGCCUGCUCCAAAGACAAAACUCAUUUUAACUGCAUUUUCUCUCCCCUUUGUUUUUUAAGAAUCAUUUGCAACGAAUGGCACUCGCUAAAUGACUGUCUAACAGGACAAAACGGUGCAAACCUCCCCCUCUCCCCCCGCCGACUGGAAAGCACUUGUCCUUAGCAACCCCGGCGCUGCGCCCUGCUCGCGGACACCGUCAGGUGCAUGCAGAAGAGGGUCCCACUUCUAUAGAGCAUUGAGAGACAAGAGCUGUUUCUUGUUGUUGCAGCCCCUAAUGAAAAUUUGCCUGCCACGUAUCCGAGUGUGAUCUGGAAGCAGAUUUGCACCUGUCUCAGCAGGCCGAAAGCAAACAAUAACAGCGCUGAGAGCGACUUGGUGAGCAAGCAGCAAGGGCAGGGCAAGCGGGUGAGAGCCCCCUGGGUACGCUUCUGCCCUGCUGCUGCUCAUCAGAGGCUUUUAAUCAGAUCAUCAGAGCAGGGAUUUUUUGUGCUUUACGUGCACACGGUACGUACCUUUCUGCUCAGGAAAAGCAACCCACAGCUAACAUGACCUUUUCAUCUUCGUUAUCAGGGCUGGAACGAGAAGAAGUGUCCCUGAGUGUGUGUAGCACUGAACACACGAUGGCUUCUGCUCUCCCCAAGGCUUCUGGAAACACAGAGGUGGGGUGCAGCUGCCAGCCCUCUGCUCAUGCUGAGGGCAUGCAACUGUACCAGCUCACUGCCAUGCAUGCCACAAGAAAUUUCUGCUAAUGCAAUUCUAAGUUAUAUGGGCUUCAGAGCAGAGACUUUUUUUCCUUUUUUUUUUUUUUUUUAACCUUUUAAUAAAUUACUAGAAUAUUUUAGGUCCUAUAAAUAGUGUUUUUCCUUUCCUAGUUGCAAACAACCCAUCUUGUGCAUCUGAAUGCUUUGAGCUUUAUCUCAGAGAGGUUUUUCUGUUGACAUUGUAGGCACCUUUAUCAUUUUUUACCCAGGGCAUACAAAGCUCUUUGUGAUGAUUUGUCAGUGUUCAGCCUUACCUCUGAAGAGCGUUAGCUAUUAUUAUUUUACAGUUAGGAAAAUUAAGGAACAGAAAGCUCUGAUGAUUUGCUCAGGGUCUCUGUGUAAGAAAGAGGAAUAAAUCCCAGGAAACUCUGCUUGCAGGCUUCUGCUCUAAUUACUGAAGAGCAUUCUUCAAAAAGUGUAGCUUUUUUGAAAGAAAGGACAUGUGAGCGUGAUUGUUAUCUGCUGAGCAGAGCAGAUACCAGAUGAGAGAUCUUUCCUCUUUAUCUUUUUACGAAAUAAUAGAUGUCUGAUUAUGAUCUGAGAUGCUAAGAAAACUUUGUUACAGAUAAUUUCAGGUUUCCAAACAUGUUUCUCUUUAGUAGUACCUCUUAUUUACAUAACCCAUUAAGUUAGCCAUAACGAAGAGCAAAUAACCAAAUGCACAUCUUGGACAUGACUCCUGCCGAAAUAUCCACAGCCUGACUCAGAAGGAGUAAACCUCAAGUUGCCACUGCGCUUAGCACUGGGCGAAUACACUCCAGAGGAUGGCUCCUGCUCCAAAGAGCUCAAGGUCUAGGGAGGCAAGACAGCAGCAGGGACUGGCCCCUCCCGCCUGACACUUUGGUGGCGUCCCAUGGUCAUACAGAAAGUCCCUGCAAUGCCAGGAAUGGAAGUCAGGUGACCUGGAGCAUAAUCUCAUGUUGUAAGCACCAAAGUUUAGUGGUGGUGUUUGUUUGUUUGUUUGUUUUGUCUGACACAGUUGUUACUCUAACAGCAAAACUAUCUUUCAGAGGUCCUCUGUAGGAUUCCCUCAGGGGAUGGGAGCUAGCAGUCCUGCCCCCUUCAAUGCCCUGUCAGCUCUGGAUAAAAUAACCUGUACAUACGCAGGUACGUAGCUGCAUGUAGUGCUUCAGUAAUGGGCUUAGUAACAGAGGGAUUCAGAUUAAAGAUUAGGAUAAAGGACUUGUCCUGCAAAAUGACUUUUGAAGCAUUUAUGUGGGCAGUGCUACAGAAAUCUACAGUGAGAGUCACCUAGACCUGCUUGCCCCACUGACCCCAGUUGGAAUCCAGGUCAGUUCUGAUGGACUCAAUGGAAUAGCAAGUGUAUAAAGGAUACGUGCGCGUUGUAUGUGUACAUGUACGUGUACGUGUAUGUGUAUGUAUAAAAUCAGCAUUGCCUGAUCCAUCUUUCAGCUGUUUGCUUAGCUCAAUCAGUUUAAUUUGCAACUUAAACUGUGGGAGAGGACGUGUAAUCCUUUUAUCCACUGCAGCUGAUGAUACCCCAAAGCCCUUUGUUUACUUAGUACGUUACACAUUCAUUGAGACUUCCGUCACUAAACAUGGCAUGCGCUGACACUCUCUGCAUCAAAUGCUGCUCCAUGAACAAAACUCAUUUGCAGACACAACCUAACACCUUGGUACAGUUCAUUCUAAACAGUUACAUUCCUAGAGAAGCACUCUAGAACAUCUGUGAGCACUCGUGUGUUUGUGAACGCGUGCACGUGCAAGGCAGAGGAGAUGCGAAGGAGGAGAUGCAUCUUUUCCAUGGAACUGAGAUGUAAAUGUUUGCAAGGGGGGGUUCUUGUGCAGCAGAAGAGGCAGGACAGAGCAUGUACCUUCCUACCGUGGGAGCUGAUCUCAACAAAGCUGGGUCCUCAGGACCUGAAAACAGCGGGUGUCACUCAUGCCGUGACCGGGUAAAGAAAGCCUUGGGCAGCAUUUGGGGGAAUGGUCUGUCGGGAUGGGAGGGAUUUCUUUUCUCUGCACAAAAGAAAGAGAGCCUGCUCUCUUUCUGCUCCUUCGGCCUUGCUGCACAGACCUCAGUCACCCUGAGGCCAACUCUUCGUCUCUCUGCUGGUGUACGCACACCUUCCACAUCGCACGUUUCCAAACACGUUGCAUGCCAUGUCAGCCAGCCUCCGGCCCCUCCUCCUUUUUCGGGCUGGCACAGAACAGUGCUUGGUGAGAAAAGUGCUGCUUGCAAAGUAGGGUUUCUGUGGUUUAGGGUUAUUUUAAUUAAUUAAUUCUUUUUUUUUUUUUUUUUUUUGUAAGUCUGCAGCUGCUAGUUUUGAAACGACCAAUCCUAAAGCUGCAGAAGUAUGAAAGAGAGGGUAAGAAAUCAAUGGAAGAAAUAGACAAUCAGAGCGGGGUCCUGACCGUGGAGUGGCUGCUAUAUUUUAAAACCCAUAAAAGUUUGGCUUGUGUAAGAAACCAUCUGGUAUUUAGGCCUAGUUGAAAUUUUAGCUGUGUGCGUGCACUCUGUGUAUGAAUCAAUGGAGCAGCUUCACAGGCGCGUGCACGUACUCUGCUGGACUCCUUCACCAGGCAGUGCAGGGCACUUGCUGAAAAUAUCUGGAAAACCUAUUGGACUUCACACCCCUCUAACUCCUUCUGGACUGCUCAUAAUGGUCUUUGAUCUAAGGGAAAACAUGCGUGCCCGCCACAGCUGCAAUGCUGCAAACCCACAUUACGAAUAGGUGCAUGACCCAAAACCAGUUAGCGAUGCACAUCUCAGGAACAUUGUAGAAAGCUGCUGAAUAUUUAUAAAGAGCCUAAUGGCAAGAACCACUGGGUUUCUUUCUGUUCAUAACAAGGCAAGCAGUACAUGCCUGCACCGAGAUCGUUGUUGCUGCUGCACAUGAGUAGAAUUAAGUCUGUCCCACCUUGUAAGAGCAUCUACCCCAAAUCAACCCGACAAGGUAGAGAAGAAAGGAAGCAUUUGCUUACCUCUACAGAUGAGAAACUGAGAUACAGAGAGAUGAAGUGAAAUGCCUAAACUCAUACAGGAAACCUGUGGCAGAGCUACUAACUGAACCAGGCUGGGCACUGCUGAGGACAAAGACUGGAGUGAAUUAACUGCUCACAGACUUUUCUGACUCACCAGGAGGAAAAAAAGGGAAAAAAAAAAAAUGUCAUCACAAAAAACCCAGAAUUGCAUCAGGGAGGGUUCUUCCACUGUGUGUAAGGCCAGGCACUAGGAACACCGUGUGCUGCCCCUGUGACUAAUGCUGAGAAAAGGCAAACUCAGAUGGGAACAGGUGCAGCUGAGGGCUAAGGAAUAACCAGAGAAAGGGUGUUGAUAAGAAAGAUCAGAAGAUUUUUGUUUAUCCCAGCUAAACAAAGACUGAGAGCAGCAUGGCAGUGGUCUGUAACUACACGGGGACAGAAUGUCAGGGAAGGGAAAGCUCAUAGACAGUGCCGGUGUGAGAGACAAAAGGUAUAAAUCAGUCAUGAGCAAAUAGUUCAAAAUCAGGAGAAUGUAUUUAAACAUCAGAAUGAGGAAGUUAUAGAUGUCCUUUCCGGUGGGGAGCAGUAGCGGUGGAAAGAAAAUACAUCCAUCCUUUACAGACACCUUGAGGAGUUUGUGAAAGGAAUCACAGAGCACGGUCAAGUCUGACAGCAGAGCGGACUCAGCUCAAGAAUUGCUUCCACUCUGGAGUUGAAAUUAAGUGCCUUAACUUUUCUUCACUCCUAAGGAAUUUAGAAGAAGAAUCUCUUGUUACAUAGAGUGCAUAGCACAAACAGAGACCCAUCUGGUCUCUGGGCACUACUGUAGCACAAAUAAUUCAUAACACUAAUGAUCAACCAUAACUACAUCCUUCCUGAGGUAGAGAUACCAUAUGAGAAUCCCAAAAGUGAAAAGCAGGGAACUGACUGCAAGCUUAUUCCAUCCUUUCAUGACCACCCCAUAUUCUGCGAGAAUGAGAAAACGUCUACUCUCAGAUACAGUGGUGUAAAUCCAGAGGAAUUGAAAAAGCAUCACUGCAAGCAAGCUUGAACUUCAGUGGCAUGCUUUCUCUUUCUAAAAGGGACGAACUCUAUCCAUCUCUUAAAACCUUUGCCCACUGCUCUGGAAGUACUGCAAAGGCAAAGGAUUCCUAUAAGUGCAAGGCUGGGUUCGGGAAGCCCUGCAGAAACCAGCGAAGUGGACAGAAACCAAUCUCAUCUUUAAUACCAACGUGCAGAAACCGUGCGUCCUGGGCAUGAGUUUGUUGGGGCUCCGAGGCAAAGUGGAUAUAGCCUUUUCCUACCCAGUAAGUGUCAUCUGGUACAUUUUUUACACAGCCUUCCCUACAACAUUACUCAAAAUCCAGAGGACUUGGUAUCAUCGUCAAAGAGAGGACAGGAGGGUAGAGCUGCUGUUCAGGAAAAGACUAGAAUUAGAAGGGAGCCUGGCAAAGCCCUGUUCCCUAUCUUCCUUCGUGAAAUUUCUGUGUAGGUAAGAAGCAACACUUUUCAGCCUGGAUCUGGCCAUGCCCCUUCUUCUACUUCAUGCAAUGAGAGGAAGUUUUCAGCACAAAAGCGGUGCAGUGUGAGAUUCUGCACAGACGCUCAGUCUGCAGCAGGACUGCGAGGAGCUGGAGUUUGGGCCAUGUGCCAUCGGAAUGGUAGCAGUUUCCCUUCGGCGUACUAGCGACGUCUCAGAUUUCAAGUACAAUCUUAGUGUCACAAGGGAAUUCACGAUCACUCGGAUAAAAUGUAGCACACACAAUUUGCAGGCACACUUGUCUGGUAGAAAAUGGGAUUCAGAAGAAAUAGGUUCAAUUAAAAAACACCCCAGAUCCUGAUAAAACACACUGCUUUUUCUGGGCAUCAGUUCCUCUCUUAAUGUAAGAUCAUUCCUUCUCUUGUCAGAGUGGAGUCUUAACAGACAAGUUUGGUAAUAUUGCAAGAUGAUACUGAGAAUUUUGCCUUGAGCUAGCAAAUCACUUCAGUGCAUGCUUAUUUUAAAUCUGGUUGGUUCUGACGAAGUCAAAUGUAUUCAUCUAUGUCUCUCAGAAAUAUCGCUAAAAUGUAAUAUUUGUUCUGUUGGAAGAUACACAUGCAUACGUUAGAUCUAACGAAGGAAGAACAUUACCAUGCAUGUCAUAUGAAUUUUACCAGCAACUUCGUAGUAGGAAUGUCAUUAUUAGAAAAAUUAUUCUGGCUGCAGCACACCAUCUCUGAGGACCAGGAGUCACACAGACUGUAGCGUAGAUUCUCAGUAUGCAUCAAAACAACCCACAGCAACUUUAGUAACUGCUCCAAAUGACUUUCACUCUUUUGGGAUCAAUUUAUAAAUAGUGAUCUAUCUGGCUUUUGAGCCUGUACGUAUAUCAGCAGUUUCUGACUCCAGUGAUUUUUCUGUGUAGCAGAAGUAAAACUUCCCUUUCAAAGCUCAUGAAGGGUGCGUAAGGUCCACCCUCUUCUACAAAUGCCGUGGCAAUUCUACAGCCAGGGAUGUGUGGAUGGCCACCAGGACCCUUUGUGUCCCUAAUGCUGACUUGUUGAGUGACCAGGACCAGUUUCUUCCUAUAUUUCAUCUCCUAGCUUUUCUUUCUUUUCUUUUCUUUCUUUCUUUCUUUCUUUCUUUCUUUCUUUCUUUCUUUUCUUUCUUUUUCUUUCUUUCUUUCUUUUUCUUUCUUUUUCUUUCUUUCUUUCUUUCUUUCUUUUUUUUUCUUUUUUUCCUUUGCCUGUUUAGAUUAUGGGCUCCUACUCCAUCUUCGUGCCAUGCCUCAUCUUGGUGGGAGUCUCUAGGGACAUCUACCAUAAUACACGGAAUUAAGCAUACGAGUCACGACUUCUGGUUCUAAUCAGGAGUCCGUCCCAGAGGCUGAUCUGCAACAUGACCCUGAUGGACAAAUCCUCAGAAUUUAACAGGGAUUAAAUCAAUGGAGUUUUCAUAGAAAUUGAAUUAGACUGUAUAGAAAUUGUUCCAUAAACAGAACACAGGAGAAAAGGCUAAACUUCCUCGAUUUUUCCCUGUAUUUUACAGAAGGGAUAUAAUUUUCUGUUACCUUUUCCUGUGUUAAUCCAAAAUUGUGUGAUAAAAAAAUUACACUUUUCAAUGUAAAUGCAUAGGAUUUUGUUAUUACAUGAGGAAAACCUCAAAUCUGCACUCUGAAACCUGCAGAAAGGCAGUUCUGUAGGAAGGCAAUGACGUUUGUUUUUUCCUUGCUUUAAGUAACAUAGGUCCUGCUCCUCUGUUAGGCUGGGGUGAGCAGAGCCCCCUGGCAACUCUGCUUUCCUUGUUAGCUGGUGUGGUGCACUAACCCUCAGCUGUUUCAGUCUAUUUUAACCCACGCCUGUCUCUUUAGGUAUACGCACCAUGUAGAUUAGGACAUAUACAGAAAACAGGCCAAGUCCACUACUUUUAUCUUAAUCCGUAUUCUGCCAUUCCUGAAUGUUGAUGAUCUGAAUAAAUGAACCUUGGACACAAGCUACCUGUCUGCAGAGGCUGAACUGGCAAAUUCACUUUGUGCCACAUGCAGAUGGACAACAGGCAGUGCAGGUUGCGGUUUUGCCCCUCCUCUCCUUAAGCCUGCUGAACUCUGGUGGCUUGGAUAAAUGGAUAAACUGUGAGCAUGAACAAAUUGCACCAAUUUCAGUGGGAAUUUGAAGAUACUCAGUGUAUAUUUCUAAAAAUCAGGCCCGUAUUUGCACUUCGGUCUGCUCUACACAUUUCUAGCUCCUUUUAGUUGCAUUCAGGAGCAUUCUUAUAGGCAUUCUACUUGGUCCUGAUCUGAGAUCACAUUACUCUUUCUGAACAAGAAGACAAGUUACUGUAGAGCAUGCACGAGAUCAAGCAUCUCGAAUAACGCCUAAGAUUUAAAUCACCGUGAACUUGUGAUUCUUAUAAAGAAUAAGCAUCACGUCUGACAUGCGAAGAUUAUGAAGGCAUGGUGCAUCUCAGCAAAACAGUAGACUUGUAAUCUGGGUGGGGUGCUCUAGCUGGAAAAAGUGGUGUUCCCAAGAGACUGGCUCCUUACUGCAUGGAAUAAUUUGGAUUUUGUGUUGAAUCCUUCAUAUCAAUAGUAUGUUCCUAAUCCAAUUGACAAGAAUGAAAUAAAACUGCAGCCUUGUACCAGUGAAGGGGAAAAGAGUUGGAAGGGAAGAGUAUCAAGCAGUGUAGAUGUUUAAGAGAAUCAUUCCUGUUAAAAGUUUUAGGGCUGCCAGUUCCAGUAAAUACCAGGGCAAUGCCAUUUGUACUGUACAUGUGCAAACAUUUUGGGAAGCAUUUCUGACAGUGGCCUAUAUUUCAGGACACAAAAUUCCAGUCCCAAGUUCAAAUAGCAAAUAUGCUCACACAUACAAGCCUGUGCAGAUCAAUGAGAUCUCAACACCUGAUUGUUUGCUACACCACAACAUUGAAAACCCUGUCUCUCUACUAAAAUGCAGGGUUCUUUGCUACAAUUUUCCUUUUUUUUUUUUUUUUUUUUUUUUUUGUAGACUAGAGCAUGGCAGCUGCUACUCUGGAAGUGGCUUCAUUUCAGCAGCAAAGUUCUUGCCCUCUGCAGCUGGCAAUGCAAAACUCAAAUAGAUAUGAAGAGGGCACUAUCACUCUAGGCAGCCUGACUCAGAGUCGGGGCAGAAAAAAAAAAGGCAAAUGUUCGAUGCUAACAUUAUACGAAGUCCCAAGGAGAUUUGGAACAGGAGCAGCGGAGGAGUUACAGCUUCCUUUGUUCUGCUAAAAGGAAAAAGGAAACACAUCAGGAAACCAGACUGUGGAGCACAGGAAGUCUCACUUUGGCUGAUAAAAAGGAACUGAUGUGAGGUUGGUUCAGAUGCAGUUAUAAGUCAAUCAAGCUUGGAACAACAAGAAGAGCUAUUCAGAAGAAACCAGAGAGCCAAAGCCUGUGUUUAGCUGUAGAAAUGGUGUUUUAACAUCUCUUAAUCUUCUUAUCUUCUUGUUUGAAAGAAAGCUGCUAUAAAAAUGUUCAAAAAGACUUUUCAUCAUACAGAAAUGGUUUCCCCAACCCACCACACCCUCCACUGACCCCACCAUACCUUACUCCAGUUUCUUUUUUUCACUCAUCGACCAACUUAAAAAACUGUAUUCUUGCUGAUUAUCUCCUCCCCUCAGAUCAAAACCAGCAUUAGUUAAGAAGGGCAGGUUUUUGCUGAGUGAGAAAUCAGCAAAUGACUAAUUAAAGGCUCUCCUGCCCGUUAUGUUAUUUUCACCCACUCUGCAUGAUUGACAAGCGUGGGCCAAUACCCUAACGUUCAGUUCCUGGUGUGCAGCUUUGUUGGCUUGGAGAGGGGGGUGUUACACUUUUUUUCUUUUAAUUGUUGCUUGCUCCUUUACAGCCCUAUUGUGGGUUGAUCGCUGGGUUAAUCUAUGCUGGAAGAACAGGAACAAGACACGUGCAAAUAAAGCAGUAAGCUUAGCUAUAUCCAUGGCAUUUACUGCAGGAGCUUCUACUGAGCUCUGUUUCUGAACUGCAUUUUAGAAAAAAAAUCAGGAAAGAAAGAACGCUUGAUACACCUGAAGAGUCAGGGUCAUUUUUACAGCAUCAUGCCAAUGCUGAGGAGAAGCAAGGGCAAGAUGUCUGGGGGAUUUAGCCUUACUUCUCCCACCUGUUUCCAGCAAGAGUUGUAUAUUCAAUGCCCCUUAACCAGCUGUGUAAAUCUUAACAUGUUUCCAUAUAGAAUCAAAAUGCUUCGUUAAGCACAUAGAAAGCAGCGUGGUUUUCAGAGGGAACAGUUACCUUCAAAAGAUAAUGAGAGCUUGCAAAUGAAACUGGUUGCUUAGUCAGGUAAAUGUGCACUUACAUGCCCAUUUUUAGGGCUCUGACUUCAAAUAUGGAAGCAAACCAGAGUUAGACACAUUAAAAUAUCUCUGUUAUCAAAUUCUGAUGGUCCCUGUCAGGUCAUUAUUUCCAAGUUUACCUUUGGUGGUGUUUGUCACUUGAGAAACAGGUUUAUUGGGACAUACUUAAAUGUAUUCAGCAGUAAUAUACAGUAACAUAUAUCCCUUUUGUUUAGGUCUCUGUCUUACAGCUAAAGGAAAAUCUUUGGUAGCAGAGGUGGGGGAGGAGGGAGGUAACGUUUGUGGCUUUACUACAAGAGACCUGUUUCUAGAUCAGGUUACUAGCUGUGUAGUUACGCAUCAGUAAUUAUGUGGCCUGGGUAAUGAGAGAAAGAAAGAAAGAAAAUAAGCUGUAGAUGCAUUACAUUCUGAAGACUUGAUAGUUGGAGCUCAGUGAAGUAAAUUAUGCAUUGUCCUAUUCUGUUGCUGUAUAUACCAGCUCAACUUAGUUGGCACUUAGGUUGAUCGGCAACCUGGCUGCCCAGGGUCUGCGAUGACACAGCAUGCGGGUUAGCAAUGACUUGGGUCUGCCAUCAGGCAAAUUAUUUCCAAAAGAAGGCAGAAAACCACAUUGCAUUGUGAUAUUUUAGUCCUUACUUUCAAAAACAGCUAUAAAUAUGCACUCACAGUCUUGUAAGAAAACAUUUGUUCACUCAGAAAGUGUACUUAGGCAUCGCCUGUGGAAGUACGACAAGACUCUGUACAGCCCGAGAAGUGCACUCCAAGCAGCUCUGUUUACCCACCAGUGCUAUGCAUGCAUUGUGUGCUCAUGUUCACAUGUGCAUGAGAGCAGGAGAGGCGCAGACACUGGAAAUGGAUCUGUUGUUCAAUUCAGAACAAAAGAUCUAAAGAGAAUUUUACAUUUGGGGGAAAAGCUGGCUUCAAACCAAGUUGUAGACCUUAAACUUAAAAUAUUAGACCUGCUCUUCUAGGCAAGCCCUGCACACAUUCAUGCUUGCUCCAGCACUAACACCAUGUUUCUGCAAUGUGAGGUGUCUAGCAAACCCACAAAUGUCUACAAAUCUGAAGUUAAGGCUCCCUCGGCCUUUAAUUUUCCUGCUUGUGCAUGUUUGCACUGAGGUGGGACACAGGGUCUUUCAUUAAGUAGUGAGUAAACUCACGCAGAAUAAGAAACUUUCAUUUUUCAAAGGCAAUCUACGGGGCGCUGUGGAAGAACUUCAUGCACUGAUGUUUUACAGGGAGAAAAAGCCUGGAAGAUGUUCCAUGUCAUGCAGUACAUGUUCAUAAGUUCUAGGGCUGAUCCUUCUGAGAUGUGAACUGAAAUCAAGAGGAAAGCUUCUUUAAAAGCAAAGGAGAGGCCUGAAGAGAAUAAACUCUUGUUUCUGCAAAAAUUGCUAUAAAUGCCCUUCCCCCAGUAUACCUCACUUUAUCAGCAUGUCAUCUAAGGCCUUACUUUAGUGAGGUGUGAAGCGCAACCUUACUCAUUGUCCUCUUGAUUUCUGUCCCUUUCUCAUAGUAGUCUAAUGAAGAGUUGUACUCUUUCACUAAGACUCCAGCAACUUUUCCGUAGAAGAAAUGCUGCAAGGAGUCAUAGAAGGGACCUCCCCCCAGCUUACAGCAGUAUCACGAAAUUAAAUAAAUAACUAAAAUAAAAGCAUGAAAUCCUCAGGACAUGCAUGCUAUACUCAAAGUGACCACAUCCUGUUAGGGUAAAAUCCACAGUCGUGCAGAGACAACGCUCUACGACGCUCUCAGCACCUCUUUAAAGCUUCUGAGUGAAACCCCAAGUGCCUAAAAUCUAAGCAGUUGUGCUGUUGUUGUGUAUUAGGUUUGUUUCAGACUAACUUCCUUCCCAUAACAGGAACAAUUCUAGUACAGAGCAACAGAGCUACUCAGUUUACAGACUCUGGAAAGACUUCCCCAGUGCUUUACUCGCGUAGCAAACAGGAGUUAGUACCGAUCACCUCGAGUCGGCAGCACCUGGCACGACGGCACGAUCACGAGCUCGUACUGAGGCAGAGGCAUGCACACACAUUGCUGAGGGAAAACGAAGCAGUAAAAGAAGUAGCAUUAUGAAAAUAUGCCAAUUGUCAAACAUUUCUAACAGUUUUUACUGCUGUGUCUUAGGAAGCCGUCAUGCGAUAUAUAGUCACCUGAGCAGCGACCCUGCUUGGUCCCCAGGGAACAAAGAAUUUAUGCCUGGACAUUUCAGAUGGUUUUCUUUAAAACUGCUUUUGAGGGACAGCAACAUGGAAAGCCUGCAGUGAACAAACAAUCUGUGUGGAGUUUUCCUUCUGGAGACUCUUGCCCUACGAGUCAAUGCCUCGUGCCGUUGAGGAAAGGCCAUCUCUAAAAGGCCAAAGCCAGGGCAAUUUAAAAAUGGCAAAACAGACAUUUAAACUGGCCCAAAAAGGAAACAUGUUCUUAGUUCGAGAUCUUGAUGGCCAAGUUUCAGGACAAGAGCGAACGCCUACAGUUCACGAAUGACAAGAAACAGUGAUUGCAAUAGAAACCCUACCCCACCCUUCGCUAUAGCAACACAGCACAUAAGUUGUCUCUCAUGGAAAGAAAAAGAGACAAGUAUAGUUGACAUCUACUUUGGUAAUGCAAAAUGUUCACUGAAUGUCCUUCAGAUGGUCUCUCUCUUACGUCCAGAGCACAAGGAUAAACAUAUUUUCACAGUAUGAAGGCAGCAGUUACAAACUGUGCUUUUUAUUAUUAUUAUUAAUUAUUAUUAACAUUCAGGCUUGGGCAAGUUUAUUUUUUUAAAUUAAUUAUAGUCCACAUGUAAAGUGGAACUGAAACAAUUAAACCAGUUGAAACCACACUAUUGUUAUUGUGAGGAAGUCCACGCAUGGGCAUCUUGUUGACAUUCGUACCCUUUUUGAUUUAAUUUGAGGCAAGAAAAACCCAAACCCCCAAAACACGAUGUGAAUUAAGUCAAAGCAGAAUGUUAACCCAAAGAAGAUGUGAUUUGAAGUGUCUGGAGGCAUACAAGAAAAAUAUUAUAAUUAUUUAAAAUUAAUCCAAACAUAAACCGUCAUCGGUUUUUGGCUCCUAAUCAUCUUCUGCAAGUGUUGUUCACAGAAUGUGGAAUUAAUAUGGAAAUGAAUUAAUAAAAAUAAAGGUUUGCUGCACUUCUUUCUGCAGAAAAGACCUUAAUGCGUCGCUGUAGAGGUCACUUUUCAAAUCAGCCACUCCAACUCCCAUGUCAGGUAUUAAACAGAUUAUUUGAAGAAUGCAGCAAAAAUUGCCUCCCACCACCUCAACAAGUGAUCUAAAAUAACUCCCCUCGCAAUACAUAACUAUUUGUGAAGAAAUAAAAAUACAUUCUGGAGCUGGUGCGCUGGCUCAGCAAUGCCAGACGUGACGUAAGCCAGGGCAUGACGGGGAAGACUUACAGUCCGGAGCUGAUCCCCCCUAAUUCUGUAUGUGCAUGACAUUCCCUGAGCUGUGGGGUAAAGAACCCUGACAACUUCAACUCACAUUUGCGCAUGGUGUCCACAGAGGAUGCAAGUGUAGACCAGGAUCAUCCUGACCACAUCUAUCCUCCAGCCGCACUCUGCUUCCCGGGAGCAUGCAGUGAGCCCUUAAGACAGCUCAAGGCUACAGCAGAGCUACCAUUUAUUACAAAGUCACCCUGCAACUGGGCAGUUUAUAGUUAAAUUAUGCCACUUAUACAACACCAGCCAUCAGAAAGUCUGCUGUCCAAGCUCUUUCUGAAUGGCAUAAAAAGAUUAAGAGGCAAGUACAGGCCCAGCACUGUGGAUUACAGGGUGAAGGGAGGCAUUUUUAUAGUAGACUGGACUCAGGCUCCUUCUACAUCGGUCAAGUGUGCAGUUAAAAGUCCUUGGCUCAAUUAAAGCAAUUAGUCCAUGGAAGAGUUUUGCACAGACUUAAGAAAAUACUGUCACUUGUCAUGUUCACACGCUCAGGAAGGCAAUCAGCUGCAAGGUGUACCCUCGAACAUUUCUGAUCAGAGCUGCACAGCACUGCCUUCUACACAGCCAGGUAUACUUCAGUUCGUGGGUGAAGUACUUCUGAACCACGCCUGCACACAAUUUCAUCUGCCCCCUCAGCGUGCUCUUGACUAAAUAACAAAAAACCUUUUCCUCUGGUUUUUCUUGCCAUCUUUGUCAUCUAUGUGCAUCUUUUCUGCCAUAUCAUUUCCCAACCAGAGUGCACAGCUUUGAGAGAAAGCGGUGCUUACAGCCUUCAGGAGAGGUACCCGAAGGUACGAUUGCUUCUAAAUUGCUGUCUCCUGAAUACAGUACAGGUUUGUUUACUAUGUCCUAGAAUUUAGCAAAUCUACCCCGAGGCGCAGAUUAUAUAGAGAGCUCAGCACAUUAAAAACAUUGAAGCAUCUCAAGCCACAUCCUCUCUCAUUGCCCUUCACCUGAGAGAAGUCAGGCAAGGUGGCCUAACCCCUUCCUUUCGGUGGUAAACUGCAGCAAAUCUGCCAGUGCAUGGGUCUGACACUCCCUGGAAACCGCUCGUUCCUCCCCAGCAAGAAAAUUUGCAAGAAAUCUCCUAUAAUCCUGAGGGCACUACAGGAGCUUUCAACCACUUGUGCAAAGUGCAGAGAAGUGGUAAGUUACAGGAGGAGCUCAACAGGAGACGGGGACCUGCAGCAAGUUGCUGAUGACCCUUGAAUUGCUCAGUGGCCCCAAGAUGAGACUCCAAUGUACCAGGAUCCCACCUCUCUUAGCUCCAACAGCCAAAUGCUUUCUGGACUACAAGUGAAGCAGCAAUACGCAACAAAAGGCCGCUCAGCUGUCAGCGGGCAGAUCCAGGAGCUGGGGCAGUGACCCAGGAUGCGGCUGAGUUCCUCCUUUCGCCACAGCCUCCCAGCAUGACUGCGGGCCUAGCUGCAAGGCGUCGCAGUUCCUCAUCUCCUGAGCAGGGGGCUGGGGGUGACAGCGCACCACUUUGCCACGCAGGGUGACAGGGGAGAGGAGGAGCUCCCAGUAGGCACCAUGGGCUACCUGGGCCAUAGCAACACUUCAGCACCUUUCAGAGGAUGCUGCAGGGGGGCUCAUGGCCUGCGAAGAAAAGCGGGUCCAUGUGUGCACUGCAGCAAAUGUGCAGAUGGGAAAUUUCUGCACUUUCACUGUGCAAUAUUUAGGGCUCCACAAAUCAGAGAAGGUUGCGGUGCACUAAACAUACCCUGAAUGAGGCCCGGGUUACUUUUGCUACAGAGUUGAAGAGGUGGUAGGGGAGAUGUGCCUUAUUCCUGCCAUACCUCCCAAAUUUUGUGCUUUCAAUGUUCCUGCUUCCUCUCCUCCUGUCUGACAUUUCCCUCUUUCAUUCCUCUUCCUUUCCUCUUUCCAUUUUCUCUUCCUGCCCAUCUCCUUCCCUCCCCCUUCUCUUGAGACCCUUCCAAACAGUGCACUUGUCACAAGCUGAAAUGUAAAGGAGAAAGUUUCAGUUCCUGCCAGUUUGCAGCUUCUUUCUCCCCAGGUCAGCAAAAAAAAAAACAAAAAAAAAAACUUUUAAGAAGAGAUCAACACCCCACCCAGGCGAUAGGCAUCUUUCGAAAUCCUCCAACCCAAACACCCCACAGAGUCUCUCGCUCCAAGGCUGCUCUGUUCGAGCUGCCCUGCACUACAGCGCUCCCUCAAGAAGAGCCCGUACGAAUUGCACAAGGGUCCCCCAAAGCAAGAAAGUGUACCCGCUGCUGCCUGGGCUUUGGGAAACAGCACGAGGCACCUCGAGGGACUCGGCGAAGGCUGGGUUCAUCUUUGCAAAGGCUGGAGGACCAGCCGGUUUGGUGGGGGUAAAGGGAGGGGGAACCAUUCUCAGCAGCGUCCCAGCAGAGUCCUCGCUUGCUCAAGGCCACCAGAGCUACAGCAAUAAAGAGGAAUCAGUAGUUUUCCAGCCCUACAAGUGAAGGAUCGGGUCCCUGCUGCCUCUUGGUCCACAGCAACAGCCCAUGGGAUUUGGGAACUUGACGCCGGAAAGUUAUUCGCUGCUAAUCAGCGCUAAGUAAAACAAAUGUCUUAAAAGUAGCGUGGAGAAGAUGCAGUAGCUUUGAAGCUGCAUCGCAAUUACGCGGAGAGUGGGUAAGCAGUGUCCUGGCUAGUUUUAUUUGAGCUCCAUGUCCCAGUAAAACAGCCCCCGCCCUCCCUUCCUCCCCAUCCCGCAAUUAUUGAAAAGCUAAGCACAAAAAACAAAAAUACUGAAGGCCAAAAAAACAGACGGCAGUGCACUAGCUCCAAACGUCUGGCCCCUCGCUUGAGGCCAUAAUUAAUUUGAGAUUUAUUUUUUGGAGAACCCAGUCUCGUCUGACCUUAGCCAAACAAGACUUCAGCUAGACCCUUGAUGCGCUUGAAUGGAACAGAAUAUUUCUAACUUCUCUUCAGGCAUCCGUGCCUGCUUUGAAUUUGUUCCUCAGACUUCAUAUUUGGAGAUUUGCAGGAAAGAUUUAAAGCAUUUUCCCCCCUUAGCAUUCACUUUCUUUUCUUCCCGUUUUGCUCCCCUUUCCCUCCACACCUCCCCAUUCUUUCUAAACACGGGGUUGGGAAAUCACACGAAAGGCUGGAAUACAAAAUCCACUGGACCAGAAUAUUGGUGGGGGCGUUUUGCUGUAAAUUGAAAGAACGGAGCCAUUAGGAGGUCACAGAGCUGGAGGGGGGCGGCUGCUCGAAUGCUGGUGUCUGGCGGGGCGGGAGUCACCGAGCGUAAAAUCUUGUCCCCUGAGCCCGACAGCCUGGUUUGUUUUAGAAAGCGCAACGUGCUACAUUUCCAGGAGAAACGACGUUUCUCCCACCUUUCGACUUCAAUCCAACCGUGUCUUGAGGGCAAAGAGGGGAAGAAACAAUGCCAGUCCUGCCCACGCGGAGCUUGCCUUCACCACGGGUAAAAGUCGGGCAGGAUUUGCCGGGCACCGGGAAAUGGAAGGGUUUUUUUCCCUUUAAAGCAGCGAGGCGGGUGCAAACAAGAGCUAAAUCCUUAAGCAGCGAGUUGUCAGGACGCAUUAAUCAAAGACUUGCUAAAGUCUAACAACUUAACGGCGUUUCUGCCUCAAAAAAGGAGAACGAUUCGGUGUACGCGCGGAUUAAUCAUCACUCGGGGUGAGCAAGACGUAAGAGCUGACGGCAGCGUCAGGCUGGACGUCAAGCUGGAACUGCAAAGAAAGGAAGCAGGAACGGGUAAGGAUCCCCUCGGCAGGGACAAAACUACCUGAACUGGAAGAAAAACAGCCCGUCAAGUCCCUGCUUUCCCCUGCUCUGCGAGGCUCAGCUCUCCAGCUGUUCUUAAAGGUGUGCUGCGGGUUUGUGCCCGCAGCCACCUCUCCAGCAUCCCAUCCCCGGGCACCUGUGGGACUCAGCUCGCUCCCUGCACGAGUCCCUCUGCAGCGCCUUUCCCUCCGUUAGGCAUCAGGCAUCCUCCCGCCGCGAGAUUUCUGCUGGGGAAAAAAUAAAAAUUAAAAAAAAAAAUCCACCCACGAAAUACUGGGGGAUUCUUUCCUUGCAACCUGUGCCCGGAGCAGCCCUCUGGCUGCUACUGUUUCAGUAGGAGAGAAAGCGCGGCCGUGUCAGGGUUUGUCAGUGGCCUUCGCAUUGCCCUCUCCAAAGAAAAUCCUGAUGUUUUGUCCUUAAAAAAAAAAUAAAAAAAUUCUUCAGGGCUUCUGUAAACUUUCCAGGCAGAGGGAAAGCAAGAACAAACCAAAUUUGUUUCCAGCCACCCAGACCAUUUUGCCUUCGUGAAUAUGCUUCUUUGUACGGUACCACAAACAUUAUGGCUGCAUGAAAUCCAUUUUUAAAGCGAGAAGUCCUGCGCUUGCACGAUGGUUCCUUCUUCCCAUCUGUGAGGCUGGACAAAAGACCGUCUUCGUUCCCGUUCAGAGGUCUGCCCGAAGACCAUUUUCUGCACAGGUCAGCCAAAGGGAAUCCAGUGUUUUAAUGCGGGACACCCCAGGGAAAAAUCACCCCUAGCAAGGUUCACCUUGGAAGGGGAAGGCUGGAAAGGAGAGCAUGAAAGGAGGAGGCGCUGAUGCGGUAGCUCUGGGCAAGGGGAGUCUUGCAGGUGAAGAGGGCGAGAGGGGGAUUCCCGCACCCCAGCACACUUUGCAGACAUUCAAGAAGAGGAGGGACCCCUAACGCCCUCUUCUAUGACUUCUUCGCCUUUCCCUGUCCCCACGGGCGGCGCCUGGCAGGAACCGGGGCUCCCCUCGGCCGCGGAGUUCUGGGCGCUGAGCGCUGGGGCACCGAGAGCAGAGGCAGCGACUUCUCCGCGCCAGGAGGGGAGAAGGGUUUGGAUGUCGCCCGAGAGCGAAAGAAAAGCGACAGAAUAAGACUCCCCAAAUUAUUCUUGCACUGUCUUUACUCACGUAUUAAAGCACAGGCAGCAGCACAGGAGGAGAGUCAAGACUGCUGUGGCCCAGAGUAGCUUGUGGCAGUGGUAAUAAUUAAAAAUGCAGCAUGCAGAGGUCAUGUUGCUUUGCUUAUAGUCCUAACUCUUUCCAUACCCUUGCAGUCAGGAUUCCAGUGCUGUCUUUCAAAAUUUAAUUUCCCACUUAUUACUUUCAUUCUCUAAAGUCAAAUACUCAUGUUUAGAUGAGAUUAGCACCCUCUACUGUAAAUUAUUAACUAUUUGCAGAUCAGUAAGUCCCAUAAUGGCUUAAGGAACAGAAACAAUUUAUCUAUGAUGUAGAACAAAUGAGUAAUCAUAAAUGAUCAUAAAUAAUUUUAUACUUAUGAUUUUCUACUCCCCUAUUGUGUUAAGGCCCAUACAAGAAGGGAUACAAGAGAGAAUGAGUAGUGCUGUCAUGAAGUUACAUAGGAUCUUUUAACAGUGCUGUAGAUGCAGACCCACGUGUCCUGUGAUGUAAAUCAAGGUUACAACACUGGCAAGCUGAACAUUGCCAGUAUGACUCAACACAAACCAUCCCUGUUAAACCAUUUUAAAAUUCAGAACCUCUUCCUCCUCCAGCGUCCUUGCCCUACCUCACACUUUUGCAUUUUGAAAACCAUGGUGAGGAAAAUUGUGACCUGAUGGUAGUCAUAGGCUGUUUUGUACCUCAGGGGUACGACAGCAGAUUUGUUCCUAGGCCUUCCGGAGAACACCCUGCUAGCAACCCCCUCUCAUCCGCAACAUACAGAGAGGAGGCAUUCUUCUGCACAAGGCACGGAAUAAACAUAACACUUAUAUGUAUGUAUUACACUUGUUAAAGACAUUUUAUACAAGACACUGAUCCCAAUCGUGAUUUUCUCCUGGAGGAUGGAGGUACCAUGUCAUGAGCUGGGAUUCCAUGGAAUUCAUAAAUAAAUACUGAGUCCAUACCUCC
Molecule: long non-coding RNA, 19471 nt
Organism: Cygnus olor (mute swan)
Lineage: Eukaryota; Metazoa; Chordata; Aves; Anseriformes; Anatidae
Exons: 2
Source: RefSeq, a predicted model, not a curated record